CAGCCAUGCCGCGUGAGUGAUGAAGGCCUUAGGGUCGUAAAGCUGCCUGUGAAGAUAAUGACGGUAGCAGGUAAAGAAACCCCGGCUAACUCCGUGCCAGCAGCCGCGGUAAUACGGAGGGGGUUAGCGUUGUUCGGAAUUACUGGGCGUAAAGCGCACGUAGGCGGACUGGAAAGUUGGGGGUGAAAUCCCGGGGCUCAACCCCGGAACUGCCUCCAAAACUAUCAGUCUAGAGUUCGAGAGAGGUGAGUGGAAUUCCGAGUGUAGAGGUGAAAUUCGUAGAUAUUCGGAGGAACACCAGUGGCGAAGGCGGCUCACUGGCUCGAUACUGACGCUGAGGUGCGAAAGUGUGGGGAGCAAACAGGAUUAGAUACCCUGGUAGUCCACACCGUAAACGAUGAAUGCCGGGUAGCAUCUAUUCGGUACACACCUAACGGAU
This 439-nucleotide ribosomal RNA is filed under the name Ruegeria sp. 1S3 14. Its description in RNAcentral is "bacterial SSU rRNA". It matches the Rfam family "Bacterial small subunit ribosomal RNA", at positions 389 to 860 of the family's 1533-position model. The record is from RNAcentral. Lineage: Bacteria; Pseudomonadati; Pseudomonadota; Alphaproteobacteria; Rhodobacterales; Roseobacteraceae.